AACGAACGCUGGCGGCAUGCCUAACACAUGCAAGUCGAACGAGAUCUUCGGGUCUAGUGGCGCACGGGUGCGUAACGCGUGGGAAUCUGCCCUUUGGUUCGGAAUAACAGUUGGAAACGACUGCUAAUACCGGAUGAUGACGAAAGUCCAAAGAUUUAUCGCCAGAGGAUGAGCCCGCGUAGGGAUUAGCUAGUUGGUGUGGUAAAGGCGCACCAAGGCGACGAUCCUUAGCUGGUCUGAGAGGAUGAUCAGCCACACUGGGACUGAGACACGGCCCAGACUCCUAGGGGGGGCAGCGGUGGGGAAUAUUGGACAAGGGGCAAAAGCCUGAUCCAGCAUUGCCGGGUGAGGGAUGAAGGCCUUAGGGUUGUAAAGCUUUUUUCCCCGGGAUGAAAAUGACAGUACCGGGAGAAUGAGCCCCGGCUAACUCCGGGCCAGCCGCCGCCGUAA
Molecule: ribosomal RNA, 450 nt
Filed under: uncultured bacterium
Lineage: Bacteria
Description: partial 16S ribosomal RNA
Rfam family: Bacterial small subunit ribosomal RNA
Source: RNAcentral